ACGCCUUGCAGGACGUCACAGCUGCUGUAACCCGCGAGAGUGACAGGCGGCUGCUGGGACCCACAGAGACUCUCUGCAUGGAGCAUCGCGGGCGUCAGCAUUGCACACAUCACUGACGUUUCCUGCCUGAUGUGUUUAUAACCCCCCAGGUUUAACUCUUCAUGUCACAGUCGGGUCUCACUGGCACAGAGACNCAGGGAACCAUGAGCUUCAUCACCAUCAUCAUCUCAGCGCUCGUCUUCUGCAGUCAGGGAUCCAGAGGACAGAUCACAGUGACUCAGACUCCUUCAGUGAAAUCUGCUCUCCCAGGCAGCGCAGUGACCCUGAGCUGUAAAACCAGCACUUCCAGUGGCCUUAAUGGCUACUUGCACUGGAUCCAAUUUAAACCUGAAGAGGCUCCCAAAGGCUUAAUAUAUAAAAUAAGCAAUCGCAACACUGGGAUUCCAACGCGGUUCAGUGGAUCUGGAUCUGGGACUGACUUCACUCUACAGAUCAGUCAAGUUCAGCCUGACGAUGCAGCUGAUUACUACUGUGUGGCUGACUAUGGUGCUCCAAACAUCAUCUUCGGGGGGGGCACGAGGCUUGAUGUUGGAAAAACCACUGUCCCGACCCUCACAGUGCUGCCCCCUUCUGGCCAGGAGCUCUCCACCCACGAGGGAAUCUCCCCAGCACCUGCCGAAACCUGCUCCUCUAUUCUCGGAGCCCGUGGGUCACACUAA
Molecule: non-coding RNA, 719 nt
Organism: Paramormyrops kingsleyae
Lineage: Eukaryota; Metazoa; Chordata; Actinopteri; Osteoglossiformes; Mormyridae
Source: the annotation of a RefSeq genome assembly